AACGAACGCUGGCGGCAUGCCUAACACAUGCAAGUCGAACGAUGCCUUCGGGCAUAGUGGCGCAGGGGUGCGUAACAAGUGGGAAUCUGCCCUUGGGUUCGGAAUAACAGUUAGAAAUGACUGCUAAUACAGGAUGAUGUACCCCUGAGAGAUCUUGGGGACCAAAGAUUUAUCGGCCAGGGAUGAGCCCGCGUAGGAUUAGGUAGUGGGUGGGGUAACGGCCUACCAAGCCGACGAUCCUUAGCUGGUCUGAGAGGAUGAUCAGCCACACUGGGACUGAGACACGGCCCAGACUCCUACGGGAGGCAGCAGUGGGGAAUAUUGGACAAUGGGCGAAAACCUGAUCCAGCAAUGCCGCGUGAGUGAGGAAGGCCUUAGGGUUGUAAAGCUCUUUUACCCGAGAUGAUAAUGACAGUACCGGGAGAAUAAGCUCCGGCUAACUCCGUG
RNAcentral lists this ribosomal RNA (447 nucleotides) under uncultured bacterium. RNAcentral's name for it is "partial 16S ribosomal RNA". It matches the Rfam family "Bacterial small subunit ribosomal RNA", at positions 29 to 507 of the family's 1533-position model. The record is from RNAcentral.